CUGUGUCCUCACUCCCCAGUGGACCCCAGCCCAGGAAGAUCCAGGUGAAAGCUGGGACUAUUCUAAAAGGCAUCAGGCACGGUCUUUGCAGGGACUCUAAAAAUGCCACAAUGUAUGCUUACUGGUAAGCACAGCCAUAGUAAGAGAUUUAUUAUCCAAAAGAGAAUUGUGAUCUAAGUAAACAAGUCGGACAAUGGGCUGGAGAGAAACGAUGGAAUACAUACUGAGCAGAGUGAUGAUUUGCAUCUUCUUAAACUUCAGUCUUCCUCAUUUAAGGAUAUUUGUUUUUUUGUUUGUUCAUUUUUCUCUAAGAGGAAGCAGUACUUUCUUAAACUCCUGGAGAGGGGUUUAUUAGAUGGUGUUUUACUAAAAUGAAAGACAAAGGAUAGAAGGGAAAUGGCACAAGAGGAAGAAGACUGGAACAGAAGUGGAAUGAAUCCAAAGCAAAGAGAAUACACAGGAAGAGACUGUAGAAGGCUCCUGCACAUCCCGAACAGCAUUGCAAAUCUGAGCAUGUGGAAAAGUUAUGUGAAUGCUUCACCUGGUAGCCAGCUUGCAGCCCAAGCACAAGGAUCCACUGUGACUUCAUUAGGACUUCAAAGAAAAACACCACACUGCUCUGUUGAACAAAUGCUGGGGAAUGAUGAGAGGCAGCAGUGAAAAGGUUAAAUAUAUCUUAACACGGGCCAAGUUUCUAUUUCUUACUUGAAAUUGAAAGCAAGAAAUCUUGGAAGAAAGAGGAAGAAGAGGAAGGAUGGAUUUGGAAGGUGAAAGGAAAAGUCACUUGCUUUGUAUCCAGAGCAAAUAUUUAAAAAUCAUUAAUUUUAAACUCCAAAUGGAAUAGCCUCACAAAUAUGCUCUUCCCUCAAGACAGACAUUUCCUGGACAGGGGGAGUGCAGAAGAAGGGAAAGGAGAAUAAGGAUAUUCGAUGUAUUGUGGUACGUCUGGAAUCCUCUUAUCUGCAGCAAGACUAGGAACACCUGGACGACACUUGUUUAUUUCCCCCACCCACCUGUGCAAAUUGCUAAGUGCAUUGCUUCUCAAAGCACUAUGCCAUAUGCCAGUCACAUCACAGAGAUCCAUUGUGACUUCUCUGAACAUCAAAGAAAAGCCAUUGCACAUCUUCUUUGCACAAAUACUGAAGGGGCAGUUGUGAAAGGGUUAAAAGAUCAAGUUCUGCUAUAAAGAUAACAGGAACUGGAGAACAUGCAGCAGAUGUUGCAUGUGGAGGCACUUAAGUUUACAGUCCCACCUGUGUCCAUUUAAUACCUUUAAAAGCAAUCUCCUGUUCAUUUGUGAGGGAGAAUAGAAAAUCGAUGUUCCGAUCUCAACAUCUGCUCACAACUUCCACAUCCCACAUGAAGAAAGGGAGGAGGUGAUGGGAUGAGCAGACAAGACAAGAAGGCUGAAGCUGAGAUUUAAGAACAUAAAUAUACGGAGAUUUAUGCAAGUACACAUCGCCAUGUGGAGUUAGCCGUUCUUUUGUGUGCAAGGCAACUUAUGCUCUGUGCUGGGGAGCAGCAGCCCAACUUUAAUGUUAAUGUUUAAAAUGUCUUAAGAGCAGCACGAACAUUAAACAGUCAAGUCACAGAGUUACAUCCUCAUUUUUGUUUCCUCCCUCCCUCCUUUCAUUCCUAUUUCCCCUCUGAACAAACUAGC
RNAcentral lists this long non-coding RNA (1660 nucleotides) under Anas platyrhynchos platyrhynchos (common mallard). Its description in RNAcentral is "lncRNA (ENSAPLG00000025092.1)". Lineage: Eukaryota; Metazoa; Chordata; Aves; Anseriformes; Anatidae. The record is from RNAcentral.